AUGGAACUGAAUCAAGAAAAGUGCAAGCCACUUAGGCCUCUCCUCAGAUUCGUCAACCUCAUCCUCCCAUAUGAGAUCAUCAAUCUCCUCACCCUGCAGGAACGGCAACUGGUUAAGAAGCUUGUCAAGGAAACCAUUAAAGGUUUUUCUGAGCUGAUAGUAACUGAUGGUGACAUGGUACACGAGGUUCGUCCUAAGGCUGAAUUCAACAAGGGGUUUGCAGUCAAGUAUAUACUCGAGCAGCUAGCCCGCAAAAACAAUUGGGACAGUUCUCAGGUGGUUGCUAUCUUCAUCGGUGAUGAUAAGACCGAUGAAGAUGCAUUCAAGGUGCUCCGUGGACGAGCUGGCGGACUGGGGAUCCUUGUCAGCAAGGAGCGCAAGUGGACCAAAGCGUCGUACUCGCUCGAAGACCCAGCUGAGGUGCAAAAGUUUCUUGAGAAGCUCGUGAGCUGGAAGAAGGCAGAGGCUGAAGUUUGA
This 477-nucleotide ribosomal RNA is filed under the name Triticum aestivum (bread wheat). Its description in RNAcentral is "partial small subunit ribosomal RNA". The record is from RNAcentral. Lineage: Eukaryota; Viridiplantae; Streptophyta; Magnoliopsida; Poales; Poaceae.